RNAcentral lists this ribosomal RNA (367 nucleotides) under uncultured bacterium. RNAcentral's name for it is "bacterial SSU rRNA". It matches the Rfam family "Bacterial small subunit ribosomal RNA", at positions 527 to 896 of the family's 1533-position model. The record is from RNAcentral.
GGAGGGUGCAAGCGUUAUCCGGAUUCACUGGGUUUAAAGGGUGCGUAGGUGGGUUGGUAAGUCAGUGGUGAAAUCUCCGGGCUUAACUCGGAAACUGCCGUUGAUACUAUCAAUCUUGAAUAUCGCGUAGGUAAGCGGAAUAUGUCAUGUAGCGGUGAAAUGCUUAGAUAUGACAUAGAACACCAAUUGCGAAGGCAGCUUACUUCACGAUCAUUGACACUGAGGCACGAAAGCGUGGGGAGCAAACAGGAUUAGAUACCCUGGUAGUCCACGCCCUAAACGAUGGAUACUCGACAUUAGCGAUACACAGUUAGUGUCUGAGCGAAAGCAUUAAGUAUCCCACCUGGGAAGUACGACCGCAAGGUUG